This 268-nucleotide unclassified non-coding RNA is filed under the name fungal sp. RNAcentral's name for it is "partial internal transcribed spacer region". The stretch from base 1 to 46 matches the Rfam family "Eukaryotic small subunit ribosomal RNA", at positions 1786 to 1831 of the family's 1831-position model. Lineage: Eukaryota; Fungi. The record is from RNAcentral.
AAGUCGUAACAAGGUUUCCGUAGGUGAACCUGCGGAAGGAUCAUUGCGAAUAUUGAGAUUGGAGGGAUGGGAUUGGUGGAAUGGGAUUGGCUGGUGUUGUUUGUCAAGCUAUUCUCUUCUGUUCUGCCAUACUAUCUCAACACAUGGUCUCGGACCGAGUAUUUGCAUCUGCGUUUAUUCGGACCGCUUGACAUUUACGCUUGUCUUGUUUGUCAGAGUUUAAUAUGCAAAGUUUAUACAACUUUUAACAAUGGAUCUCUUGGCUCUU